ACUGAAAAAUUUAUCAUGAAAAAUGAUAUAAAUAAUUCAUAAAUGUUUUGAUUACUUUUUCUGCAUGAAGAUUAUAGAAAAAAUUUUUACAUAAUUUCUAUUGGAUAAAAAUAUAUAUCACUAUAAGUAAAUUUCUACUUUUUUAAAUAGAUGGCACUUAUAUCUACUCUUCUAGGUAUUUUUUUUCUUUUGUUUUACGUAGUUGCUAGUUGUGAAUAUGAGUCAUGUUGUAUUAAACGAUUAUUAUUUAGUUUUGUUAUAUGUAUUCAUAUUUUAUUCGUAAUUAUAAAUUAUAUAUUAUACAUUAAUAUCUAAUAUAUUAAAUUUUAUUACUAUUAUAAAUAAUUAAAUGACAUCAUUCUUAAAACUAAGAGUAGACUAACAUAAGUUACUAUAGAGUGUGCCAUAAAUCAGUCGAUGAUAUCAUUCGCAAAACUAAGCCACUAGUAUGCAAUGCAGAGCGAAUUUGGCAUCGAAGGAAGUGUCAACGUUCCUAAAAGGAUAGAGCCAGAUAUAAAAUUUGAAUAUAUUAAAUCGGUUUAAAGUAAUCGAAGUUUAUUCAACCUGUUUAUGAGAAAAAACGUUUUUAAUUUGUAUACCACCACGUUGGGGUUGCGGCCACAUCGUGUCUCGCCUGGAAAGUUAUGUCGCCCUGUUGGAUGGGUGACGCUCGCACAUGAACUCGCCAGCAACCCCUGCACGUCGUUUGCCGAACCGUUAGUACGCGUCAACGCGAGUUACGAGCGUGCACGCGUGUGCACCACGCGUGUAACGAACGUGUGUCCCUUCGCUAAGUCGGGGAUUAACGCGUGUUGCUUCUUUUCGACGGAACAGUCGGUAGCUGAGAAGAGGGAUGAGGAGGAAAACUGAUGAGGAAUUUCGAAGAACGGCGGCUGUUGUGGGAAUACCGCCGAGGUUUGUGCACUGUGUACGUAUAUUUAUAUGCGAAAUAAAAUAUGCGUUUUCAUUUAGAACUUAAAGUGUAUUUACAUUUUUUUUUUAAAUGUAUCGUUAAAUUUGCGGAGGGAUUUUUAUAUCUAAGAUAUAAUAUUGAUAUAUAGAUAUAGUUGAGAUAUUGUAUUAAUUGUAAGUAACAAUUAGUAAAUAAUUAUAAUAAAAAUGAUAAGUGAACAAAAUUGCAGAAUAGAUAGUAAUGAAUUAUGAGAAUUAUAAUGAUGUAAAUUAAUCUUCUAAUAUUUUUAUUCUAUUAUAUUAAUAUAUAUUGUUUAUUAUAGAAAAAUCAAUAUUUAUUUCAAAAUUAUUAUAACACGUAUUAACAAGAUCUCUAUAAAUUUAUGAAUAAUAAGAGAUUCAAUAAAUUAAAAUUCUUAACAUUUUCAUUUACUAAUUAUUAAAAUCAUUAUUUAUAUAAAAAAUACUAUAGAAAAUAUCACAAUGGAAAAAGAGUAUUUUUGAAAAAUGUUGAGAAACAAUACUGUUCUAUACAAUAUAAACGCUCUAUACAAUAACAAGAAAAAGAUACAUUGAUUCUUUCGUCAAAAGAUAGCGAUCCUUUCCAGCUUCCUCGUCGGCGCAGGACAAAGCGAGUCGCAAUUCAAACGAACGAACGGUCCACGAUUUCCUCGCGACGCAGACCGUUUCCGUUGAAGUAUUCACGAGUAGUAAGUGACUGGGCAAACGUUAGCCGUUUCAAAUGUUCGAUGCGGCCACGAAAGUCUCCGAGCUAUAGGAUGGAAAAAGGGUCUUCGAGAAGGUGCAACGACUUGGAAGGAGCGGGGUGUGACAAGUGCGGCGAACGACGAAACACGUGAGAAAAGGGAGGGGAUGAAAGUGAUCGGUUUGCGCACGGUAUGAAAAUGCGUAGUGGGAGAAAGAAAGAAAGAUGCUCACGGCGUUGAGAGGGGGAACGUGUGCGGACGCGCCAAUUACCAACUCGGCCGAAGACGGCCAUUAAGAGAGUCGGCAAACAAACGACUUUCCCUUUUUGUCGUUCUCGAUCGGACUAACGAUCAUCGGUAUACACCUUCGCGUGAUUUCAGCCAACACGAGGGACGAAGAUCGACUUCCAUUCUAUAGCCAUCGUUCGUUCUUUCGAACGAUUGCUUUCUUUGCCGCUGUUCGCCUGUCUUUGAUCUCGACAGAGGAGGAAUCAUGCGCCGACACGCAGCACACGUCCCUUCUUUGCCUUCGGCCGGUUCGACCGGAUUUUCCAGGGAGCCGUCUCUGGUGUGCCGAGAAUCAGCCGACGUCGGCCAUCCUCCAACCUCUUGUUUCGAGCCUUAAACAGCCGUACACCAGGUUGUUUGAUUACAAAAUUAUACCAUCGGCCGAUACUUCGCGACAUAUAGCGAUUCCUUCCUCUUUCUUAUUUGUACACCGCUCCGUGCUUUUUAUCGAUUCACACCAUCCGGUGAUGGGUAUGGAGGAACAAGUGACGAAUGGCUGUGAUCGAGGUGCUUGAUAUUAGCGAUUUGCGGGAUGACAUAGGAAGAUGGAGAGGUUAGGUGAGAAAUUGGAUAGUUGAAAUUAGGUUAGAAAAUUUGUGUUGAAAUAAUAUUUCUAUUAACAAUAUCUUGAUAAAUUUCGAUAUUGAUAAUUUAAAAAAUUUUAAUAAGAGAUCUUGGAUGUAAUUUUUUUUUACAAAAUUUCCACUUAGCUUCUGUUAAAUUUGUGUCCAUUACGAUAAUCUCAUUAUAUAGAUAUGUAUCGAGGAAUAUACUAAUUUUUUUUAAGAACUAUAUUUUAUUAUUUAUGAUUAUUAAAGAUAUUUCUAG
Apis cerana (Asiatic honeybee) is the source of this 2735-nucleotide long non-coding RNA. RefSeq lists it as uncharacterized. The record is from RefSeq and is a predicted model, not a curated record. Lineage: Eukaryota; Metazoa; Arthropoda; Insecta; Hymenoptera; Apidae.